RNAcentral lists this transfer RNA (84 nucleotides) under Macroptilium lathyroides. Its description in RNAcentral is "tRNA-Tyr". The record is from RNAcentral. Lineage: Eukaryota; Viridiplantae; Streptophyta; Magnoliopsida; Fabales; Fabaceae.
AAAAUGGAUUCUUGAAGUCAUUCUAAUCAUAACACUAAAUUCAUUUUAUUGAUACAUAAAUGUACUCACAAAUUCAAAUAUUUC